Molecule: small RNA, 124 nt
Filed under: Flavobacterium sp. 1
Lineage: Bacteria; Pseudomonadati; Bacteroidota; Flavobacteriia; Flavobacteriales; Flavobacteriaceae
Description: Flavo-1 RNA
Source: RNAcentral
UCCUAGCCCCAAUUGCAGUGGGAAUCCUUUUGUGCAGGUGUUCGGCACAAAAGAUUACUUCACUAUGCUUUUAUUUUCAUAAGAGUUCAGUGAACUUCGUUUGUAACGGAAAGCGGGACUAUAU